Molecule: long non-coding RNA, 3913 nt
Filed under: Sus scrofa (pig)
Lineage: Eukaryota; Metazoa; Chordata; Mammalia; Artiodactyla; Suidae
Description: lncRNA (ENSSSCG00005036946.1)
Source: RNAcentral
UUUUUUUUUUUUUUUUGUCUUUUGUCUAUUUAGGGCUGCAUCCCUGGUAUGUGGAGGUUCCCAGGCUAGGGAAAUAGCAAAAAGACAAAAAAUAAAAUAAAAUAAAAUAAAAUGUCAAUGGGAGCAAAGACUCCAAGCUGGACAUGUGGCCAACAUGUGUUCCUUAGCCCACCCAUGCCCAGCACAGCUGGGUCCACCCCAGGAACCAAUUCCAUGACAAAGUUCAAAUUCACCAUUCAUUUCAUAAAGCCCAGCUCCAGGCUUUUUAAGCCUAUUUUACUUUUUUGUUGUUGUUUUUGUCUUUAAUAGCAACACCUUGAGCAUCAGUUACUACUAUUUUCAUAAAUACGGUCCAUACUUCGUCUCCAGACCCCUGAUACUGGGCUUGUAUAAACUUUAAAAGUGUUACAAUGACAUUUCUAAUUCAACUUUCAAAUCCUUUGCACAAAGACAGCCCAUAGCUUAUAGAAAAGAUGCCACCAGGGAAUCCAUUACUGAUCCACAGAGACAAUUAUGGGAUUACGAUGCAGGAGAAUGGAGGGGGCGGUAUUGGGGGGAAAAAAACACCCAACCACACAUAUACUUCAUUUUAUACAAAAAGCAGCAAGGAAUUUUUAACAUACAUUAUGCAAAAAAAAAAAAAAAAAAAAAAAAAAUUCAAGGGUCCCUAAAAUCCGCUGGUUAGGGUAUUUUGUGUAACUGGAUAUUCUGAUUGUGUCUCAUUCGAUGACAACCAGUUUCCAAAGAUUAUAGGGCCAUACACUGCCCUCGACACUAAAAUCACGCCAAAUACAACCUGCCUCCUUUGAUGAGUCAAAAUGCACUUCGGGAGCUUGCCAAGUCUUGAGUUCAUCAUUACAAGCAAGUCCUGCUUAUGAAAAAGUUCUCCUUAUUUAACUUUUCGGAUGGGAUUCUGAGCAAGGAGCCGUUCCCUGGGCUAUGGCCAAUCCCACUGCAACACAACCACUGUUCUCCUCGCUUCCGCCCUUUUCACAGAUGGGACCGGCUUCCAGCGAGGUGACCUAUGUUCAGAGAUGGAGAGAGCUGGGCUCAGCCUCCCUGGAAGGGAAGAGGCUUCAGGUUCAUUGUAGUUACUGGUGACUGGUUCUGAAAUUGAGGAACUAGUUUGAGGAACUUCAGAAUAAACAAGAAGCCCAGACAACUUGGCUUUCCACAGAAAGCUUCCAACGCACAGGGGUAACUGGAGGGGAGCACAAGGCCCAGCCCUGCCCUUCAGCAGUGGAACUCCGACCAUGGCCUUGUUUUAGAUGCUGCCCUACACAUCCUUUGACAGACGGGCCUGAGUGGGCAGUCUGGGGAUGUGUCCCUUUCCAACACAGAGUCACCUUCUUGUCCUCCCCCAGGAAAGGAAGAAAGGGCUUGGGACCUGUGAUGUGACAGGGAACACGCCCAGAGGCUCUCAGGCCCAUUCCCUGGUAAAGGAGGCGGGAUCAUGAACCAGCCCAGCAGGGCCUGGAAGAGGAACCUGGUUUCUAGUCUUGCAUUUUCACAUGGUAGCAAAUAGCCAGGGGCCACCACGCUCCAUGUGCUGUGCCGGCCAGAGCUGAUGUGACGGGUGAUCCAGACAGACGAGGUCUGGAGCUUUCACUGUCGUAACCCUGGAAAGGCCUUCCUGAAAUGCUGAAUCCAUUUCCUGAGAAGCACUGUCAUGGGCCAGGCCUUGGACCAGCUGCCCACGACUCUGUCUGAGUGGUGGGAUUUGCUGGUGUGGUCAUGGCCCUCUGUGGUCGAGCCGGAAGUCUAGGAUAGGGUGGCCGUGUCUUUAACAGCCUGCUACUUGUUGUCUGCUUCUCUCAGAACAUUUCUACGGACAAUGCCUAAACCUCUGCCAUUGCACUCCUCUCCCCGGAGCGCUGGGUUUCCGGACUGCGCUCAAGCUCCUACUCCAGGCGGACAAGCGGUACAAGGUCCCUUGUUGAAAGAGAUGCUGUGGGUCCCCAGACACCCGCAAGGUGGGGAGGCAGGCUCCUCCCCUCCAAGGAGCUCAGGCUGCAGCUGGAAAAGGAGGGCUGCUGUCUAAGGGGCUCCUUGCUCCCCUCCAACUCCCACAGUCUUGGUUCACGAUUCAGCGCCUGAAAUGUACCUGCUUCCGCGUCCAUCUUUCCACCCCACGGCCAGUUCGUGGUGGGGCAGGCCCUCAGCUGUUCUUGUUUUCAGAUGCUGGUGCCUAGCACGGCCCGCACUUGAUCCACCUGGCGAGUGGAUGCGCCCCUGGGGACAGACGGGUGCCUGUCUGAGAGCCUGGCUGGCUUGGGAGAUGAGUGUCCUGAUCGUCCAGUCACCUGGUGAGCUGGAGGGAACAAAGCCAGCUCCACGCACAACAGGUCAGAGCGUGGAGGCUGUAUUCUGACUGCACUCCAGCUAGAAGGUGUCCUGCAAGGUGGCUACUGAGCCACAGCUGUCACCCCUGCUCCUAAAUGCUGAACCUGCAUCCCAAAUGAUUGCCAGGUCCCCGAGAGGAUGACCCUUCUCAACUGGACAUCAUGCACCUGAGCUCAGGUGUGCCUACAUGUGCGAGGUGGGAGGAGGUACCCAAAUCUCCACCUUCUACACUCAUCUCUCUAAAGCUAUGCCUGCCCCUUGAAGUACAGCACCUCAGAGUUCCCACCAUGGCACAACAGGAUCAGCAGCAUCUCUGCAGCGCCAGGACGCAGGUUCGAUCCCUGGCCCAGGACAGUGGGUUAAAAGGAUCUGCCAUUGCUGCAGCUGUGGCAUGGGUUCCAACUGUGGCUCGGAUCUGAUCCCCAGCCUAUGAACUCCAUAUGCCACAGGGCAGCCAAAAAAAAAAAAAAAGGAAGAAGAAAGAAAAAAAAGUACAAAGUACAGCAUCUCCUUGUUGGGACUUUUGGGCCGGAGCUCAAGUUGCCUGGUUCAUCCAACUAACUUCCUGGGCCACAGGAGUCCGUUUCUAAUCUUAACUGGCAACAGCAUCCUCAUUUGAGAGUGGCAAGACUCCCUUCCUCCUGAGACUUCCAGCUAUCCCUAGUAUUGACCAGUAGACUAAUUCUGGCCCAGUAAAAGGAAAUGGCAGGGUCAGCAGGAGCUGGGUGGUAGAUCUCGGAUACAACAGCCCUUUGCCCUUCCAGGGCCCACAUCCAGAUGUGACAUCAAGCUUUGCCCACAAGGAAGGGCCUCUUCAUGGAAAAGAGCUGGAUGGAUCCCUCCAGAGUGACGCCCAACGACGCCGGGUCUUCCGGCCACCAGCUUGCCCCAGGCAACAGGACGGCAGAAAGAUGCAGGAGGGCUUCUUGGUGCCCGGUGGGUCUGUAACCUCACAAUCAUUCAUUCACAGUGACUGAAUGCCCACUUUGGGCAAGAUUCUGCCCGCUGAGCUAGGACAAUGCCCUACGAGGGUAGGCAACCUUUGAGACUUCCGGAUAACCCUGCCCAGAAUUGCCUUUUCUUAUCAACUUUUAUCUCCUUUUGGUUACAUGAACCUCAUGGUACAAGAGGGUGUCAAAUUGGCUUUCUGUUUACUUUUUCUUAGACCCAGAGCAGCUGCUGCUCUUGGCUCCACCCUCCCCAGGUCUGGCAGAGCUUGAAGAAAGGCUGAGAGUGAUGGGGUUGGGUGGGGAUACGAAGGAGGAGCUAGUUAAGAAAUAUAAUCCCUGCUCCAGGAGUAGUUCUUUUGUUCCACGUCGGCACAGCACAGUGAAAAGAGCCUAGACCUUAAUUCGGACUCUGCAACUAAGUAGCUGUGUGGCCCUGGGCAGCUCAUUCAACAUCCUUGGGUCACCAUUUUCUGUUUUGUAGAGAGAAAAUUUCCAGGUUGUAACUCAAAGCAGCUCUCUCCUGGCAGUGGUUAAGGCCCAGGGUCAGUGAAGUCAUGUCCACCCAAGUGACUGCUGAUUAGUCCAGAUAGAUGAGGUGUGGGGCUAGAGAGGAGUCUGCG